This is a long non-coding RNA of Mauremys mutica (yellowpond turtle), 376 nucleotides long. RefSeq lists it as uncharacterized. The transcript has 3 exons. The record is from RefSeq and is a predicted model, not a curated record. NCBI's taxonomy places the organism in Eukaryota, Metazoa, Chordata, Testudines, Geoemydidae.
AAAAAUGUGAGACAAUGCCCUCCACUUCACCUUUUCUCCUCCCAUCCUUUUGCUGAUAACAUCAAUGAAUACCUGGAGGACAUUGAACUAAGGGGUCCAAGGCUGCAAAGAGACCCAGCCUAUGAAAUUUACUACAGCUUAUGGUCCUCAGAGCCGUGGAGUAACCAUGCCAUACGAUGGAGUCUUUCUAAGUCUAGGUGAAGGAUAUGGCCUGCGACCUGAGAAAGGAGACGAGGUAGAAGAGGAAGAAUGUGUGGUUGGCACACCACCAUUCUAAGAAAGUGUAUAAAUGCCCAGGGACUGCAAUAUUGCCCUUGAGUGUGUGGAGGGACUCAUCUGUUUUUGCUGCAAAGAGUUUAGGCCCUUUGAAUGGAAG